UACGGAGGGGGCUAGCGUUGUUCGGAAUUACUGGGCGUAAAGCGCGCGUAGGCGGCUUUGUAAGUUAGAGGUGAAAGCCCGGAGCUCAACUCCGGAACUGCCUUUAAGACUGCAUCGCUAGAAUCAAUGGAGAGGUGAGUGGAAUUCCGAGUGUAGAGGUGAAAUUCGUAGAUAUUCGGAAGAACACCAGUGGCGAAGGCGACUCACUGGACAUGUAUUGACGCUGAGGAGCGAAAGCGUGGGUAGCAAACAGG
RNAcentral lists this ribosomal RNA (254 nucleotides) under uncultured bacterium. RNAcentral describes it as "partial 16S ribosomal RNA". It matches the Rfam family "Bacterial small subunit ribosomal RNA", at positions 524 to 776 of the family's 1533-position model. The record is from RNAcentral.